CGCGAACGUUGGCGGCGUGCCUAACACAUGCAAGUCGUGGGGCAGCAGGCUACUGUCUUUUGGCAGUAGUGCUGGCGACCGGCAAACGGGUGAGUAACACGUAGCUUACCUACCCAUAGGUUGGGGAUAACAUCCCGAAAGGGGUGCUAAUACCCAAUAAUGAGGAGACUCCAAAGCCCUUAUGGGCGCCUAUGGAUGGGGCUGCGUCCCAUCAGCUAGUUGGUGAGGUAAUGGCUCACCAAGGCUACGACGGGUAACCGGUCUGAGAGGAUGACCGGUCACAGCGGGACUGAGACACGGCCCGCACCCCUACGGGGGGCAGCAGUGGGGAAUAUUGGGCAAUGGCCGAAAGGCUGACCCAGCAACGCCGCGUGGUGGAUGAAGCCCUUCGGGGUGUAAACACCUUUUCUGGGGGAAGAUAAUGACAGUACCCCAGGAAUAAGGGACGGCUAACUACGUGCCAGCAGCCGCGGUAAUACGUAG
Molecule: ribosomal RNA, 483 nt
Filed under: uncultured Sulfurihydrogenibium sp.
Lineage: Bacteria; Pseudomonadati; Aquificota; Aquificia; Aquificales; Hydrogenothermaceae
Description: bacterial SSU rRNA
Rfam family: Bacterial small subunit ribosomal RNA
Source: RNAcentral